This 24-nucleotide microRNA is filed under the name Lotus japonicus. RNAcentral's name for it is "lja-miR11164-5p". Lineage: Eukaryota; Viridiplantae; Streptophyta; Magnoliopsida; Fabales; Fabaceae. The record is from miRBase by way of RNAcentral.
AUGUUUGGAGACUCAUUUGAAAAC